GACAGAGGUCCCAAGCGUUAGGCGGAAUCACUGGGCUUAAAGCGUGUGUAGGCGGACUUGUAAGUACCUUGUGAAAUCCCACGGCUCAACCGUGGAGCUGCUGGGUAUACUGCGAGUCUUGAGCCACCUAGGGGCGAGCGGAACAAGUGGUGGAGCGGUGAAAUGCGUAGAUAUCACUUGGAACGCCAAUGGUGAAAACAGCUCGCUGGGGGUGUGCUGACGCUGAGACACGAAAGCCAGGGGAGCAAACGGG
RNAcentral lists this ribosomal RNA (253 nucleotides) under uncultured bacterium. Its description in RNAcentral is "partial 16S ribosomal RNA". It matches the Rfam family "Bacterial small subunit ribosomal RNA", at positions 524 to 776 of the family's 1533-position model. The record is from RNAcentral.